Micropterus dolomieu (smallmouth bass) is the source of this 6666-nucleotide RNA transcript. It is a transcript of the gene named centlein, centrosomal protein, with no coding region annotated. The record is from RefSeq and is a predicted model, not a curated record. Lineage: Eukaryota; Metazoa; Chordata; Actinopteri; Centrarchiformes; Centrarchidae. The transcript has 28 exons.
AGCGGGCUUGUUUGAAAGAAGGAAAGCGUUUCGGUAGUUAUUGACAACGGUGUGAUUCAGCCAGAAUGUUUGUUGUGGUUUUGUCGAAAAAGCUACAAAGGGUAUAUUUAAGUUAGUGGAUGAUUAGACUCUGCCGUUGAAGCAUGCAGUUGUGUUGUCCAGGGCACUGACUUUACGCGGAAGGCUGUCAACAGCGGACAAGAAACGGAAAAUAUACCCAAAAUGUCCUCCAAAGACGACACUCGCAUCCUGGUUUUGGAGGAGCAGGUGAUGAGUUUAUCAGAUGAGUUAAUGCAAUGCCAGGCAGACAAGGAGUUUGUGUGGUCCCUAUGGAAACGCCUACAAGUGGCAAAUCCAGACUUGACCCAGGCUGUCAGUUUGGUGGUUGAGCGUGAAAAGCAUAAAGCCGAGAUAAAGGACAGGAAGGUGUUGGAGAUCCUCCAGUCCAAAGACUACAAGAUACAGGAGCUGGAACAGAAAGUGACAGGGCAGCAGCAGGAGAUUAACAACUUGGCACAGAGGAGGAAGACCGUGGACGAGGAGAGUACCUUAAUGAAGAAGGAGCUGACAGCUCUGCGUGAGCAACUGGUCAAUAGGAAUCAGGGACUUAAGGAAAUGAAGACGGAGUGUAGGAGGAAAGAGGAGGAGGAGCAGCAGGUGGUGAGGGCUCUAGAGGAGGAGAAAGAAGGAUUAACUUCCCGCUGCGCCGCCCUGCGAGCUGACCUGGAGGAGAAAGAGAGGCAGGCCAACAGCCAACGAGACCAGAGGGACGCCGCCCAGGCCAGAGUCAAGGAGUUGGAGGCGGAGCUACACAAUACCUGGCAAGAGUUGUGCCGCUUGCAGAGCCACAGUGUCAGUCUAGAGGCCCAGCUUUCUUCCAAAGAAGGGGAGGUGGCAGCGAAAGAGACGCAGCUCAGUCAACUUCGUCGUGACUGUGCAGAAGUGCAGACCCUGUACAGACAGAGUACAGAACAUGCAGCAGAGCAGAGCCAUCUGAUCAAGCAACUGGAAGGACUCAACUUAGACACACAGAAAGUCCUGAGGAACCAAGAAGAGGCACAUACUGCUGACACCACCUCCUAUCAGAGGCUGUACAAGGAGUUGAGUCAGUGCUACCAGGCCCUCGUGUCUAGUGAGGCCAACCUCCGUCAGAGUCACCAGGAGCUCAGCAGCCAGCUGGCUCAGAAAGACCAAGAUAUCCUGCAACUCCAGGCCCAAAUACAACAGCAGCAGCAGGAACAAAUGCAGCAGGAACAGGCCCAACACACAGCCCUUCACUCCUCACCAAACAGACAAACCAACUUUAAGGCAGUGGUGUCCGAGCAGGUUGAUGCUGCAGUUCAGAGGUUUAGCCCUGAUUCUGACCGAGCCUCCACCCGAGGCUCAGAUCCCAGGCCAGAGAAUAAGACCCUUCAACGCAGAUCCACCAGUUCCGUCAGGAGGCAGCAGGGUGCACCUUUGUUGCGGUCUAGGUCUCUGUCCCCAGCCGGCAGUGUGGAGUUGGGUAGUGGAGGGAGAAAAGGAGCAGAACAGAGGAUUGAAGACCUUGAGGAGCUGCUGCAAUUGAAGAUGAAGGAGAAUGAUGAGCUGAGGAGAGCUCAUGAUAAACGCCGUGAACGCCUGUGUCUGAUUCAGACCAACUACAGGACAGUCAGAGAACAGCUGAAAGAGAUGGAGAAAUCAAAUGGCUUGCCAGGUGGAAGGAUGCAGCGUGCAGAACCAUGGCAGCUGAGACAAGAGGACAGUGAUGCAGUGUGGAACGAGCUGGCCUACUUGAAAAACCUCACUAGGAAACUCUCCCUUGAAAAAGCCGGCCUGGAAGAGGAGCUGGACAUGCUGCGAGUCCAGGCUGCUAUGGACCGGGCCACAGUGAAAGAGCUCCACCUGUGUCUUGCUAAUGAACACCAAGAAUUGCUUCACAAAGUGGUAGAGGAGCGCCAGGUCAAAAGCAGCACUCCGAAAAAGCUUUCUGUUUCUUCAGAGCGAAUGGAGCAGUCAUUUAAAAAGAUUGAACAGCUGGAGCAGAGGAUGAUGUCCCUGGAGGAGGAGACAGAGAGGCUGAGGGAAGAGAAAGAGCAGCUACUUGAGUCCAAGGAAGACUUGGCCCACAACUGCCGCAGACUCAAAGCCUCCCUGGAUCAUCUGCAAACCAAGGAAGCUGCCCAUGAACAGGCAGCCCAGGCCGAGGCCCUGGCCCAGGGGGAACGGCAUCGCAGCAAGAUCAUGGCUCUAGAAGCCCGGCUGGCUGCCUCUCAAAAAGAGGCUACCAAGCUUCAUCAUCAGUUGCUGAAGCUGAGACAGGAGCUAGGGAUCCUCAGAGCAGCCAGGGACUUCUAUAGGAACCGUGCAGUAGGUCCUGCGUGGGCAGGUGGGAUCGCUAGCAACAUUAACAGCAAGGUCAAAUUCAAAACAACAAGGCUCAGAGGUCCGCUACGCCAGCGUAGCCACCGAACAGUCAGCCCCAAUCAAGCCAUCAGGUGGCAAGGCUGCAGCCCCAAUCCCACUAAGGACGAGUGGGAGGACAUGAGCAUAGAUAGUAACAGUGGUGAAGAAUACUUGGACAGUCUCAACAGUGUGCCCUCAGUGAUAAAGGCUGACAGACAACACACAAACAAAAAGCCCUACAGGUGUUCACUUAUCUCAAACGCAGAGGCAGCUGCAGCACAGUCUCACCGAAAACAACCUGAUGUUCUGGCCCAAGACGAUGAACAGCAUGAGCCCUGGGAGCGAGGGACGAGAGGAGAGAAGAGGAGGAGGAGGUGGUGGAGGAGGAAGAGGAUGCUAAUGAAGACCCAGCGCUGCUCCUCCUCUUCCCUGCAGCAGCGCGUUGAGUCCCUACAGCGUCACAUUGACAUACUGCGAAGUGCCAGGAAAGAUGCUGUGCUUUCAGCCAGAGAGCUGCACAGGACCAACGAGAAGAUCACGGCACAGCUCAACUCCCUCACUGAGAAACUCUGCAGCAGCAAGCAGCUCACACAGAAGCUGACCUCUGACCUGGCUGGUACUGAGCAGCAGAAAAAGGUUCUGGAGAUGGAGCUGGAGCAGUGGAGGCGGAUCACGUUCCCCCAGCAGACUGCACCAACACCACCAGAACCAACAGCACCAGUAAAUGCAGAGUGCUCCUGCCAGGGCAAGACCAUGCCCGCCCCAGCUAAUCCUGCCCCCCAGGCCCUGGGGGCUGAAGUCAAACAACUUCAAGCCAAACUUAAGAGUGCAAGUGCUGAGGUCACAAGGCAGGUGGCAGCCAACAAAGCCCUGCGAGGCCAAAUCCAGGAGAAGGAGGACAAGCUCCGCCAGCUGCAGGACAAGACGAGCCACGCUGAGCGAGAUGUGAACAUGAAAAGGAAGCUAGUGGAGGACUUGAAGACGAGACUGAAGUUCCUGCAGGAGAUGGAGAAAAGUUACCGUGGACAGGUGGAGGAGCUGGAGAAGAAGGUGAAGACUUUAUCAGAGGAGGCCGCCAACAGGAAGGCCCUCAUUGAAUCUUUAAAGAGGAGACUGAAUGUUGCAACCACAGAGAAAAGCCAAUAUGAGGCCUCAUGUGCAAAACUAAAGGAGGAUCUGGAAAAAAGGGAGCAGCGCAUGCAUGCCUUGCAGGCUCGUGUGGGGGCCAGUGAGCAGGCUUUGGCUGCACUGGAACAGACAGCCACUGAGCAAAUGGAGGGGUUGACCCAGCAGAGCGCCCAUGCUUUGGAGAGGCUUCAGAGACAGCUAGGCCAGGCUUACUCCCAGCUGGAGCAGCUUCAUUCUUUCAUCAAGGCCCUGGCCAGUGAAAUACUUUUAGACGUUCAAGAGGUCAAGCAGCAGCUGAUGAAGAGGAGGAGGUUAAGGCAGGCCAACGCUGUGGCAGCAAAGGGCGGCCUCUCAGCCAAGUCUAUGAUCAAAGCCAAGUCCAUUGCUGCCUCCAUCCUCAAUAUGUCAGAGAAUGAUCUUGCGGACAUUAUGGACACUGACCAGGGGACACAGGCCCGAUCAGAGAGUCCAGGAGACCAGGAGUGGCUGGACCACCUCAGCCACAUCCUCCAGCAGAAGAUCCCCUCUGCCGGCCAGCUAAUGGAGGCUCUGCGCGUGAAGAUGAAGGAGAGGAAAGUGCUGACAGAAGAGCUGGCCACGCUCACAACACCAGUCAGCGAAAAAGCCUGACUCCCUGGGCUGAGGCUGGGAAAACUGUCAUCCUCUUCUUUUUCCUCCCCCCACUUCUUCUCUCCCUCCCCGGUUCCUACUCAGUGGGAGCUGGGCUGAGCCAAGCUGAGCCGGGGCAGCAGAACCAAUAUUUGUGAGAAAAGCGCUGUCGACUCACUCUGAGCCACUGGCUCAACACAGCAGCCCGGAUUUUGUAAAUGAGCCCUCGACAUCUGUGUUAGCGCUCAGUGCACUAUGUCUAUCAGACAGGGCCCUUUUGCGCCAAGCUAAUUUACAGUGCAGCCACUCUCCCCCACUCUCAGACCUGGGGUGAUAAGGCAAAUGCUUACGCUAAUGUUUAAGUUAGACUUUUUUUUUACUGUCUUUUGCCUCUCCCCCUAAUUUAUUUGGCACCUCAAGGGCCUCAGGGUGCAGGGACUUGACCUAGCAGUGCCAAGUCGACACUUUGAGAAAGUCAGGAGUGCAGCACAGAGCAGAAUAUUCACUUUAAGAGCUGUUCAAAGGACUGUCAGUCAGUGUGUGAUGGUCACUGAGGGUGCUCUGGUGGACAGCAGGGUUCUCACACCUCUCUCAUGAUUGACAGCUGACUGUCGGCAUGGUUCCCAUCUGUAACAAGUGACCCCUGCUGUUGACAUCAUUAACAAGGGUCCACAUGGGCACGCACACAGCACAAAGGUGUAUUAGAGGAGUGGUUCCAUCCUUGACAUAGCUACCUCCAACCCUUUUUAUCUGUUUCCCUUUUUCUCCCUCUCUCUUAUUAUUCAUUUAGAAUAUUAAACCGUGAUCCUGGUCUCCUCUUUCCUUGAGUUGGCAUCCUACACAAGAGACCACACACUCAUCCCCCUUUUUUUUACUACUUUCUUUACCUCUCUUAGCUUUUGUUUUCCUCUUCACUACUUUCCUUUUUUCUUUUUAUUAUGUAUAAUUAACAAUGGUGUGAAGAAUCCUCCGUUCAGGAAUUAAAAAGAAAUAAUUCCACUUUUUAAUCCCCCUCCCUUCUCAAAUAUAUGCUAAUGAUGUCGUUUUCCUUUAUCUUUUUAUAAUAAAGGAUUAGGCCAGGACUGUCUCUAGCUGCAACUCGGGGACCAAUUUAGCUGGGAUCCAGGAGAGACAAACCCUUGUGGUUAAUUACCAUUCAUUAACAUAGUUUGCAUCUUUUCGUCUUCUUCAAUACCCAAGAGCCAGCUAUUGUCAAUAUUUGUCCCAUAUAAAUUUCUGCGUUUUUUUCCCACAGUCACUGUCCUCCAGCGUAAUGCAGCUAAUGACAAACAUUAAUAACUCAGAGAAAUCCGGUGGCACAGUGGGUAUAGAAGAGCAAAGCAUCGGUGCCAGGCAAAUUAUCUGGGAGCCCCCGCCCCUUGGUGUCUGACUGUCUCUAUUUCUCGGUCUUCCUUUUAGCAUGUAAUGCAUAGUCAACAUGUUUGCUCGCCGUGCCCUGGCCUUGGCUGACACGCUCGUGCUAUUUCUGUGACAUAUUCAAAUGCGGGCCCCCUCAGCUGGUACUCCCUUGGGUUUAAUUAACCUGGCCUAGCCUCUGACGCGCCCUCAGUGAAGACGUUAAAUCUUGAAAACACCCGUCAAAGACCCCCCCCCAAAAAACACACACCCGUAUCUUCCACUAGGCGUUGUAUUCUAUUCAUCUCUUUAUUUUCUGUGUAGAAAUACCCUUCUUUUCUUCUCUUUCGCUCUAUCCUUGUCUUCCACCCUUCUUUUCUUGUACAGCUCUCAUUAAGAGAGGUUUCCUGUGGGAAUUACUUUGAUCAGUAGUUCCAAAUUCAAAGUUUUCCUCCCUUCCCCUUUUAUUCAUUCCAACGUAAUCAACUCUGUGUCAUUUUUUUCCCUCUGUCUGUAUCUCUUUCUCUCACCCGACUUCUUUUUAAAUCCAACUUUAUUGUAUUUUUUGGUUUCCACAGAUUCCUGCAGGAGAUUGUUCCUGGAGGGGUAGAGGAGGUCAGGGUCACGGGUUGACUUUGGGGUCGAUCGAUGAUUUGUGUAUAUGUGUGUCCCAAGGCUUGUCUGUUGUACUUUUAAGUUCCCUCGGUGUGGUGUGAGUGCUUGCCACUUGGGUGGGAAGGCGGGUAGCCCACAGUACAAAGAACAGUCGAAGCACAGACAGAAAAUUUCUGCAGCCUCCAACUGAUGCACAAUUAGUCCUUGCAGAUCUCGUCAACCAGCUGCGGAGUGAAUAGAACAGCCUCUGGUGAUUUUCCUUACUUCACUGACACAGUUUCACACCCCGACUGUUGCUGCCAAUACACCAGUCUGCUUUGAUUUCACAGCCACAGACACUUGGCACUGUCUUAAAUAACAAGGUACUUGUGACAUAGAGCCAAAUGUGUUUUUGACAAAUGUAUAAUGCAACAUGUUUACAGUUUUCAUUGUGUCUAUCCUUCAUGUUUGAUCCGCCGGGAGAAGGUUCAGAAACAAAAGAUGCUGUUUACAGAAUGUAUGACAGAAAUCAAACCAUGCUGUUUUAUUUACUCCUGAUAGUGGUGUGAAAUUGUAGUCUAAUGAUAUGAAUGG